RNAcentral lists this unclassified non-coding RNA (345 nucleotides) under soil metagenome. RNAcentral's name for it is "partial contains 5.8S ribosomal RNA, internal transcribed spacer 2, and large subunit ribosomal RNA". The stretch from base 1 to 120 matches the Rfam family "5.8S ribosomal RNA", at positions 35 to 154 of the family's 154-position model. The record is from RNAcentral.
GAUGAAGAACGCAGCGAAAUGCGAUAAGUAAUGUGAAUUGCAGAAUUCAGUGAAUCAUCGAAUCUUUGAACGCACAUUGCGCCCCCUGGUAUUCCGGGGGGCAUGCCUGUCCGAGCGUCAUUACAACCCUCAAGCACGGCUUGUGUGUUGGGCCUCCGUCCUCCUCCCGGGGGACGGGCCCGAAAGGCAGCGGCGGCACCGCGUCCGGUCCUCGAGCGUAUGGGGCUUCGUCACCCGCUCUUGUAGGCCCGGCCGGCGCUUGCCGACACAUCAAUCUUUUUUCCAGGUUGACCUCGGAUCAGGUAGGGAUACCCGCUGAACUUAAGCAUAUCAAUAAGCGGAGGA